Molecule: ribosomal RNA, 232 nt
Filed under: uncultured bacterium
Lineage: Bacteria
Description: partial 16S ribosomal RNA
Rfam family: Bacterial small subunit ribosomal RNA
Source: RNAcentral
UGAGCAAUCUGCCCUUCUCAUCGGAAUAAGCGUUGGAAACGACGUCUAAUGCCGAAUACGACCUCCUUUCGCAUGAUCGGAGGUUGGAAAGCUCCGGCGGAGAAGGAUGAGCUCGCGGCCUAUCAGCUAGUUGGUGUGGUAAUGGCCCACAAGGCGACGACGGGUAGCCGGCCUGAGGAGGGUGACCGGCCACACUGGGACUGAGACACGGCCCACGACCCCCGUACGGGGA